AACGAACGCUGGCGGCGUGCCUAACACAUGCAAGUCGAACGAGAAAGGGGCUUCGGCUCCGAGUAAAGUGGCGCACGGGUGAGUAACACGUGGGUAACCUGCCUCUAAGAUUGGGAUAACUCGUCGAAAGAUGAGCUAAUACCGAAUAAGACCACAGUUCCCGCGGGAACAGGGGUCAAAGGUAGCCUCUGCUUGCAAGCUAUCACUUAGAGAUGGGCCUGCGCACCAUUAGCUAGUUGGUAGGGUAACGGCCUACCAAGGCAAAGAUGGUUAGCUGGUCUGAGAGGAUGAUCAGCCACACUGGAACUGAGACACGGUCCAGACUCCUACGGGAGGCAGCAGUGGGGAAUAUUGCGCAAGGGGCGAAAGCUUGACGCAGCAACGCCGCGUGAGUGAUGAAGGCCUUCGGGUCGUAAAGCUCUGUCGGGAGGAACGAAUGCUCCUGAGGUUAACAGCCUCGGGAGGUGACGGUACCUGCAAAGGAAGCACCGGCUAACUCUGUG
Molecule: ribosomal RNA, 503 nt
Filed under: uncultured bacterium
Lineage: Bacteria
Description: partial 16S ribosomal RNA
Rfam family: Bacterial small subunit ribosomal RNA
Source: RNAcentral